CUGGGAGCGUGGGGCUAUUUUCGAUGGAGUGUUUAACUGUUCACAAUGGCUGCUGACCUUCACAUAUUUUUCAGCUACCUGUCUUGCUACCCUGACUUGAUAAGAGCCACAUCAGAUGAUGCCAGUCCAACACCUGGGUACCUUCUACACAAAAUAUCAGAGGUGACCCUCACCUCGCCUGCCCAGACACCAAAGUUGGUAGACUUCAUGGUGGUCCGUCUGCAGAACACGUCCUCACCGACUGCCAAA
Molecule: long non-coding RNA, 249 nt
Filed under: Pollicipes pollicipes
Lineage: Eukaryota; Metazoa; Arthropoda; Thecostraca; Pollicipedomorpha; Pollicipedidae
Description: uncharacterized LOC119113685
Source: RNAcentral